This 433-nucleotide ribosomal RNA is filed under the name uncultured bacterium. Its description in RNAcentral is "partial 16S ribosomal RNA". It matches the Rfam family "Bacterial small subunit ribosomal RNA", at positions 29 to 507 of the family's 1533-position model. The record is from RNAcentral.
AACGAACGCUGGCGGCAUGCCUAACACAUGCAAGUCUAACGAGACCUUCGGGUCUAGUGGCGCACGGGUGCGUAACGCGUGGGAACCUGCCCUUAGGUUCGGAAUAACUCCCCGAAAGGGGUGCUAAUACCGGAUAAUGUCUUCGGACCAAAGAUUUAUCGCCUUUGGAUGGGCCCGCGUUGGAUUAGCUAGUUGGUAGGGUAAAAGCCUACCAAGGCGACGAUCCAUAGCUGGUCUGAGAGGAUGAUCAGCCACACUGGGACUGAGACACGGCCCAGACUCCUACGGGAGGCAGCAGUGGGGAAUAUUGGACAAUGGGCGAAAACCUGAUCCAGCAAUGCCGCGUGAGUGAUGAAGGCCUUAGGGUUGUAAAGCUCUUUUACCCGGGAUGAUAAUGACAGUACCGGGAGAAUAAGCUCCGGCUAACUCCGUG